Molecule: ribosomal RNA, 245 nt
Filed under: uncultured bacterium
Lineage: Bacteria
Description: partial 16S ribosomal RNA
Rfam family: Bacterial small subunit ribosomal RNA
Source: RNAcentral
UACGUAGGGUGCGAGCGUUAAUCGGAAUUACUGGGCGUAAAGCGUGCGCAGGCGGUUUUGUAAGCCAGAUGUGAAAUCCCCGGGCUUAACCUGGGAAUGGCAUUUGGGACUGCAAGGCUGGAGUGCGGCAGAGGAGACUGGAAUUCCUGGUGUAGCAGUGAAAUGCGUAGAUAUCAGGAGGAAUACCGAUGGCGAAGGCAGGUCUCUGGGCUGACACUGACGCUCAUGCACGAAAGCGUGGGGAG